CACGUCCACCAGCAUGACCACGGCGUCGUCGUCCAGAAGGUCGAGGACGACGUGAAGACCGAGACCCCACCCCCAGCGCCGGAGGAGGAGAAGAAAGGCCUGCUGGACAAGAUCAAGGAGAAGCUCCCCGGUGGCCACAAGAAGCCCGAAGACGCUGCCGCUGCCGCACCGGCCGUCCACGCGCCGGCGCCGGCGCCGCACGCCGAGGAGGUGAGCAGCCCGGAUGGCAAGGAGAAGAAGGGCUUGCUGGGCAAGAUCAUGGACAAGAUACCCGGUUACCACAAGGGCGAAGACCACAAGGACGCCGCCGGCGAGCACAAGACCAGCUCCUAAGGUCGCCCGCAGCGUGUGUCCUCCUGGCCGGGCCAUGAUCGAUCAGAAGCGUUGGCGUGCGUUUUGAGUUCUGGUUUGCUUUUAGCAAGUU
RNAcentral lists this long non-coding RNA (424 nucleotides) under Sorghum bicolor (sorghum). Its description in RNAcentral is "long non-coding RNA (SBIC_LNC007425)". Lineage: Eukaryota; Viridiplantae; Streptophyta; Magnoliopsida; Poales; Poaceae. The record is from RNAcentral.